GACGAACGCUGGCGGCGUGCUUAACACAUGCAAGUCGAACGGAAAGGCCCUGCUUUUGUGGUACUCGGGUGAGGAACGGACGGGUGACUCGCGCGUGGUCUGUCCUGCUCUUCGGGAUAAGCCUCGGUAACAGGGUCUAAUACAGACUACGUGACAUCUUUAGUCUGAUGGUUGGAGAGUUUAUUCGGUGUAGGAUGCGCUCGCGGCCUAUCAGCUGGUUGGUGGGGUAGUUGCUUACCAAGGCGGCGACGGGUAGCCGGCCUGAGAGGGUGGACGGGCACAUUGGGACUGAGAAACGGCCCAGACUCAUACGGGGGGCAGCAGGGGGGAAUAUUGCGCGAUGGGCGGAAGCCUGAUGGAGCGACGCCGGGUGGGGGAUGACGGCCGUCGGGUUGUAAACUCCGUUCGCUAGGGACGAAGCUUUAGUGACGGUAACUAGAUAAGAAGCACCGGCUAACUACGUG
This 464-nucleotide ribosomal RNA is filed under the name uncultured bacterium. Its description in RNAcentral is "partial 16S ribosomal RNA". It matches the Rfam family "Bacterial small subunit ribosomal RNA", at positions 28 to 507 of the family's 1533-position model. The record is from RNAcentral.